Long non-coding RNA from Anneissia japonica, 505 nucleotides. RefSeq lists it as uncharacterized. The record is from RefSeq and is a predicted model, not a curated record. The transcript has 2 exons. NCBI's taxonomy places the organism in Eukaryota, Metazoa, Echinodermata, Crinoidea, Comatulida, Comatulidae.
UAUGGAGCAAUGGCUGCUUUACCUCACUCAAAUGAAGAGCAGUAUCGGCAUGUGGCAUAUAGGAAUCUGGUUCGCUUCUGUUGGGGCUACCUUGGCAGGGAGAACAGAGUUGUGCUUCCCUCAUGUGCAGUUGCCAAAAUAAGACAGCAAUUCCCUAACCCAGAAAAUGAUGGCUACACCGGAUUUCAAAGGAGAAAUAUUGCAGAAAUUUGAAAGUGUUAAUAACAGUGGAUUGUGGAGGCUUUUUUUUUUUUACUAUGCUUUGUGGGGAGUAGCCUGUAGGCUAAGAAGGGAAGAAGUUUCAUCUAUUUAAUAAUCCUUUGUGAUUCAGCAUUAUGAGUGUUUUCUGGUGUGUAAAUAUGUAUAUAAGUGUUCAUGUUAUUACUGUAUUAAAUUUCAUUGGGUUAAUUCUUCAUGAUUAGUGGGUGGGGUUAAAAUUUUAACUCUGAAUGUUGUAUACUUGCUUCAGUUUUUCUUUUCUAAAUAAAUUAAACACAACAGACAA